Molecule: ribosomal RNA, 253 nt
Filed under: uncultured bacterium
Lineage: Bacteria
Description: partial 16S ribosomal RNA
Rfam family: Bacterial small subunit ribosomal RNA
Source: RNAcentral
UACGUAGGUGGCAAGCGUUGUCCGGAUUUACUGGGCGUAAAGAGCGCGCAGGCGGUCGUUCAAGUCGCGUGUGAAAGCCCCCGGCUCAACUGGGGAGGGUCACGCGAUACUGAUCGACUGGAAGGCAGGAGAGGAUAGCGGAAUUCCCAGUGUAGAGGUGAAAUUCGUAGAUAUUGGGAAGAACACCGGUGGCGAAGGCGGCUAUCUGGACCGACAUUGACGCUGAGGCGCGAAAGCGUGGGGAGCAAACAGG